UACAGAGGGUGCAAACGUUGUUCGGAAUUACUGGGCGUAAAGCGCGUGCAGGCGGCCUUGCAAGUCGGACGUGAAAUCCCACGGCUCAACCGUGGAAGUGCAUUCGAAACUGCGAGGCUGGAGUCCUGGAGAGGAAGGUGGAAUACUCGGUGUAGAGGUGAAAUUCGUAGAUAUCGAGUGGAACACCGGUGGCGAAGGCGGCCUUCUGGACAGGUACUGACGCUCAGACGCGAAAGCGUGGGGAGCAAACAGG
RNAcentral lists this ribosomal RNA (253 nucleotides) under uncultured bacterium. RNAcentral describes it as "partial 16S ribosomal RNA". It matches the Rfam family "Bacterial small subunit ribosomal RNA", at positions 524 to 776 of the family's 1533-position model. The record is from RNAcentral.